GCUACCUAUCUCGGUAAGGGGAAGCGCCUAAGCUGGCACGGGUAAUUGAGUAGCUGUGAUAAGCUAUUGGCAGCCAGUUGAAAUCGUCCGGCUCGGGCCCGUU
RNAcentral lists this small RNA (103 nucleotides) under Pseudomonas phage PAK_P4. RNAcentral describes it as "putative small non coding RNA". The record is from RNAcentral. Lineage: Duplodnaviria; Heunggongvirae; Uroviricota; Caudoviricetes; Vandenendeviridae.